Molecule: ribosomal RNA, 253 nt
Filed under: uncultured bacterium
Lineage: Bacteria
Description: partial 16S ribosomal RNA
Rfam family: Bacterial small subunit ribosomal RNA
Source: RNAcentral
UACGAAGGCCCCAAGCGUUAUCCGGAAUUACUGGGCGUAAAGCGUCUGUAGGUGGUUUGGAAAGUCUUUAGUGAAAGGUCAGGGCUCAACCCUGUACUUGCUAAGGAAACUAUCAGACUUGAGUGCGGGAGAGGCAAGCAGAAUUGUAUGAGUAGGGGUGCAAUCCGUUGAUACAUACAAGAAUACCAAAAGCGAAGGCAGCUUGCUGGAACGCUACUGACACUGAGAGACGAAAGCGUGGGGAGCGAAAGGG